GGCUGGAUGGUCAAACGGAAUGACGUCCCUUUAAAUCUUUUCGGGAAAGGACAGGUUCAACUCCUGUACUGGCCA
Exidia glandulosa HHB12029 is the source of this 75-nucleotide non-coding RNA. NCBI's taxonomy places the organism in Eukaryota, Fungi, Basidiomycota, Agaricomycetes, Auriculariales, Exidiaceae. The record is from the annotation of a GenBank genome assembly.